GCGCGUGUAGCUCAGCGGUUAGAGCAUCCGUCUUAUAAGCGGAAGGUUUCGUUGGUUCAAAUCCAACCACGCGCACCA
Molecule: transfer RNA, 78 nt
Filed under: Patescibacteria group bacterium
Lineage: Bacteria
Description: tRNA-Ile
Rfam family: tRNA
About the family: Transfer RNA (tRNA) molecules are approximately 80 nucleotides in length. Their secondary structure includes four short double-helical elements and three loops (D, anti-codon, and T loops).
Source: RNAcentral